Molecule: ribosomal RNA, 429 nt
Filed under: Acidobacteriota bacterium
Lineage: Bacteria; Pseudomonadati; Acidobacteriota
Description: Acidobacteria bacterium partial 16S ribosomal RNA
Rfam family: Bacterial small subunit ribosomal RNA
Source: RNAcentral
UGGGGAAUUUUGGACAAUGGGGGAAACCCUGAUCCAGCCAUCCCGCGUGUGCGAUGAAGGCCUUCGGGUUGUAAAGCACUUUUGGCAGGAAAGAAACGUCAUGGGUUAAUACCCCGUGAAACUGACGGUACCUGCAGAAUAAGCACCGGCUAACUACGUGCCAGCAGCCGCGGUAAUACGUAGGGUGCAAGCGUUAAUCGGAAUUACUGGGCGUAAAGCGUGAGCAGGCGGUUCGGAAAGAAAGAUGUGAAAUCCCAGAGCUCAACUUUGGAACUGCAUUUUUAACUACCGGGCUAGAGUGUGUCAGAGGGAGGUGGAAUUCCGCGUGUGGCAGUGCAAUGCGUAGAUAUGCGGAGGAACACCGAUGGCGAAGGCAGCCUCCUGGGAUAACACUGACGCUCAUGCACGAAAGCGUGGGGAGCAAACAGG